This 567-nucleotide ribosomal RNA is filed under the name Klebsiella pneumoniae subsp. pneumoniae. Its description in RNAcentral is "partial 23S ribosomal RNA". It matches the Rfam family "Bacterial large subunit ribosomal RNA", at positions 290 to 867 of the family's 2925-position model. Lineage: Bacteria; Pseudomonadati; Pseudomonadota; Gammaproteobacteria; Enterobacterales; Enterobacteriaceae. The record is from RNAcentral.
ACGGGGAGCAGCCCAGAGUCUGAAUCAGCUUGUGUGUUAGUGGAACGGUCUGGAAAGUCCGACGGUACAGGGUGAUAGUCCCGUACACCAAAAUGCACAGGUUGUGAACUCGAAGAGUAGGGCGGGACACGUGGUAUCCUGUCUGAAUAUGGGGGGACCAUCCUCCAAGGCUAAAUACUCCUGACUGACCGAUAGUGAACCAGUACCGUGAGGGAAAGGCGAAAAGAACCCCGGCGAGGGGAGUGAAAAAGAACCUGAAACCGUGUACGUACAAGCAGUGGGAGCACCUUCGGGUGUGACUGCGUACCUUUUGUAUAAUGGGUCAGCGACUUAUAUUCUGUAGCAAGGUUAACCGUAUAGGGGAGCCGCAGGGAAACCGAGUCUUAACUGGGCGUUAAGUUGCAGGGUAUAGACCCGAAACCCGGUGAUCUAGCCAUGGGCAGGUUGAAGGUUGGGUAACACUAACUGGAGGACCGAACCGACUAAUGUUGAAAAAUUAGCGGAUGACUUGUGGCUGGGGGUGAAAGGCCAAUCAAACCGGGAGAUAGCUGGUUCUCCCCGAAAGCU